Molecule: ribosomal RNA, 497 nt
Filed under: uncultured bacterium
Lineage: Bacteria
Description: partial 16S ribosomal RNA
Rfam family: Bacterial small subunit ribosomal RNA
Source: RNAcentral
GACGAACGCUGGCGGCGUGCCUAAUACACGCAAGUAGAACGCUGAAGCGAGGAGCUUGCUCUUCUUGGAUGAGUUGCGAACGGGUGAGUAACGCGUAGGUAACCUGCCUUGUAGCGGGGGAUAACUAUUGGAAACGAUAGCUAAUACCGCAUAACAAUGGAUGACACAUGUCAUUUAUUUGAAAGGGGCAAUUGCUCCACUACAAGAUGGACCUGCGUUGUAUUAGCUAGUAGGUGAGGUAAUGGCUCACCUAGGCGACGAUACAUAGCCGACCUGAGAGGGUGAUCGGCCACACUGGGACUGAGACACGGCCCAGACUCCUACGGGAGGCAGCAGUAGGGAAUCUUCGGCAAUGGGGGCAACCCUGACCGAGCAACGCCGCGUGAGUGAAGAAGGUUUUCGGAUCGUAAAGCUCUGUUGUAAGUCAAGAACGGGUGUGAGAGUGGAAAGUUCACACUGUGACGGUAGCUUACCAGAAAGGGACGGCUAACUACGUG